This 207-nucleotide ribosomal RNA is filed under the name uncultured bacterium. Its description in RNAcentral is "partial 16S ribosomal RNA". It matches the Rfam family "Bacterial small subunit ribosomal RNA", at positions 568 to 774 of the family's 1533-position model. The record is from RNAcentral.
CACGCAGGCGGUUUGCUAAGUCCCCUGUGAAAGCCCGGGGCUCAACCCCGGAAUUGCAGAGGAUACUGGCAGACUAGAGACAGGUAGAGGCUAGCGGAAUUCCUGGUGUAGCGGUGGAAUGCGUAGAUAUCAGGAAGAACACCUGUGGCGAAGGCGGCUAGCUGGGCCUGUUCUGACGCUCAUGUGCGAAAGCGUGGGGAGCAAACA